Molecule: ribosomal RNA, 497 nt
Filed under: uncultured bacterium
Lineage: Bacteria
Description: partial 16S ribosomal RNA
Rfam family: Bacterial small subunit ribosomal RNA
Source: RNAcentral
AAUGAACGCUGGCGGCGUGCUUAAUCCAUGCAAGUCGACCGAACAGACGGGGCGUUUGCCCCUUUGACGUUUGGGGCGGCGGGGGGGGUACCACGUGGAUACCCGCCUUAUAAGCUUGGGAAAACUUCGGGAACCCGGGGCUAAUACGGGAUAAUAUAUUGAACCGCUUGGUCCAAUAGUGAAUGCGGGUUUUCCUGCAACUUGUAGUGGAAUCCCCCCCCAAUAGGCAGGUUGGGCAGGUAACGGCUUACCAAGGCACGUCUGCGUGGCCGACCUAGGAGGGUUGUCGGCCACACUAGAACCGAGACACGGUCCAGACUCCCACGGGAGGCAGCAGUAGGGAAUCUUCCGCAAUGGGCGAAAGCCUGACGGAGCAACGCCGCGUGAGGGAUGAAGGUCUUCGGAUCGUAAAACUCUGUUAUUAGGGAAGAACAAAUGUGUAAGUAACUAUGCACGUCUUGACGUUACCUAAUCAGAAAGCCACGGCUAACUACGUG